CGAGCGGUGGACGAGGCUUGCCCGGCGUUCGUGCGCCUUGGGCCAGUCCGGGCGCCCGGGGGUUCGGAGGAGGCAGCUGAGGCCGGAACCUGGCUCCGCACUGACGGGGCCCUUGAAUGCAGCAGCAGUGGCCGCCGCAGCACCCUGGCCCCCAGGAGAGAGGAGGGCUCCACUUGGGGGCAGCAGCAGGACAGGGUGGAAGGCCGGCUUGCCUCUCGUUCCCGUGGCCAGUCUCCUUCCUGUGGCGUCUGCAAAUGUAUUAACUUUCAGGCCUGAGCAUUGGGACAGGACCUGCUGGCACUCAGGAAUUGCAAUCCCAGAAAAGUCCGAAAUUCAAGUGAGCCGAAUACAAGCCGAAAAUUCAGCUGUCAACUGCAGCACUAGUCGAAGCAAAGGCAAGUCCAGAGUGAGGAGGAAGAAUUUUGGUCUGUAUGGAAACAAUCAGAUUCCUUUCUUCCCUUGAGAGUGGAUGCAUAAUUAAAAAUAGGAAGUAAUUACUUCCCUUCUGUAUUUGAAAGAAAACUGAACAAGGAAAAGGCAGCUGGAAGAAUUAAACCACAGGUGAAGGCAACUUUGCAACUUGGGAGAUUGUCACUCGUCUAAAGAUAAGAAUUAUAUUUGUCAUUUUAUCCGCUGUCUGAUAUGAAUGGAG
Long non-coding RNA from Eubalaena glacialis (North Atlantic right whale), 652 nucleotides. RefSeq lists it as uncharacterized. The record is from RefSeq and is a predicted model, not a curated record. The transcript is spliced from 3 exons. Lineage: Eukaryota; Metazoa; Chordata; Mammalia; Artiodactyla; Balaenidae.